Molecule: long non-coding RNA, 255 nt
Organism: Neocloeon triangulifer
Lineage: Eukaryota; Metazoa; Arthropoda; Insecta; Ephemeroptera; Baetidae
Exons: 3
Source: RefSeq, a predicted model, not a curated record
CAUGCAUUCCACAUUGCUAUGCAGGCAGUGUGGAAUGCAAUUCAAAAUAAUAACUGCAAGAAAUAAUACAAUACAUAUCUUACUCCAUGAUGAAAAAAGCUGCUUAUGGAAAUGGAAUUGGACAGUUCACAUUUUCAUGCACAUAUUUAUGACAAAACAAAAAUGAGAUGUCAAAUAGCCACCCAGAGACAACAAAGGCAACUGAAUGCAAAAAAACAAUCUUCAUAACUUCUUAUCGUCAAUGCUUCUCCUCUA